AGCAUCUUCAACCUUUAAAGAAGCCAAUUCCCUUAAUCCCAUUUCAACUGAAAGCAUACUCUCAAUAUUUCCUUCUCCUGUUAGGUCACUCAUAUCACGAGCAGGUUUACUCCUAUCUGGAUCAUCACCACCUGUGUCCAAAGACUCCUCCUUAGCCUUUUGUCCAGCAGAAAUGACAACUUCAAAUGGAAGAGGAGCUAGAGCAGACCAAUGCUCAUG
RNAcentral lists this unclassified non-coding RNA (219 nucleotides) under Hevea brasiliensis (rubber tree). Lineage: Eukaryota; Viridiplantae; Streptophyta; Magnoliopsida; Malpighiales; Euphorbiaceae. The record is from RNAcentral.